This 465-nucleotide ribosomal RNA is filed under the name uncultured bacterium. RNAcentral describes it as "partial 16S ribosomal RNA". It matches the Rfam family "Bacterial small subunit ribosomal RNA", at positions 338 to 795 of the family's 1533-position model. The record is from RNAcentral.
CCUACGGGUGGCAGCAGUAGGGAAUCUUCCACAAUGGGCGAAAGCCUGAUGGAGCAACGCCGCGUGGGUGAAGACGGUCUUCGGAUCGUAAAACCCUGUUGUUAGAGAAGUAAGUGCGUGAGAGUAACUGUUCAUGUUUCGACGGUAUCUAACCAGAACGCCACGGCUCACUACGUGACAGCAGCCGCGGUAAUACGUGGGUGGCAAGCGUUAUCUGGUUGUAUUGGGCGUAAAGGAAACGCAGGCGGUCUUUUAAGUCUGAUGUGAAAGCCUUCGGCUUAACCGGAGUAGUGCAUUGGAAACUGGGAGACUUGAGUGCAGAAGAGGAGAGUGGAACUCGAUGGGUAGCGGGGAAAUGCGUAGAUAUAUGGAAGAACACCAGUGGCGAAAGCGGCUCUCUGGUCUGUAACUGACGCUGAGGUUCGAAAGCGUGGGUAGCAAACAGGAUUAGAUACCCUUGUAGUC